RNAcentral lists this ribosomal RNA (404 nucleotides) under Actinomycetes bacterium. RNAcentral's name for it is "Actinobacteria bacterium partial 16S ribosomal RNA". It matches the Rfam family "Bacterial small subunit ribosomal RNA", at positions 355 to 776 of the family's 1533-position model. Lineage: Bacteria; Bacillati; Actinomycetota; Actinomycetes. The record is from RNAcentral.
UGGGGAAUAUUGGACAAUGGGCGCAAGCCUGAUCCAGCCAUGCCGCGUGAGUGAUGAAGGCCCUAGGGUUGUAAAGCUCUUUCACCGGUGAAGAUAAUGACGGUAACCGGAGAAGAAGCCCCGGCUAACUUCGUGCCAGCAGCCGCGGUAAUACGAAGGGGGCUAGCGUUGUUCAGAUUUACUGGGCGUAAAGCGCACGUAGGCGGACUAUUAAGUCAGGGGUGAAAUCCCGGGGCUCAACCCCGGAACUGCCUUUGAUACUGGUAGUCUUGAGUUCGAGAGAGGUGAGUGGAAUUCCGAGUGUAGAAGUGAAAUUCGUAGAUAUUCGGAGGAACACCAGUGGCGAAGGCGGCUCACUGGCUCGAUACUGACGCUGAGGUGCGAAAGCGUGGGGAGCAAACAGG